This 459-nucleotide ribosomal RNA is filed under the name uncultured bacterium. RNAcentral describes it as "partial 16S ribosomal RNA". It matches the Rfam family "Bacterial small subunit ribosomal RNA", at positions 338 to 795 of the family's 1533-position model. The record is from RNAcentral.
CCUACGGGUGGCAGCAGUGAGGAAUAUUGGUCAAUGGGCGGGAGCCUGAACCAGCCAAGUCGCGUGAAGGAAGAAGGUACUUAGUAUUGUAAACUUCUUUUGUCGGGGAACAAAGGCGGGGUCGCGUCUCCGGGUGAGUGUACCCGAAGAAAAAGCAUCGGCUAACUCCGUGCCAGCAGCCGCGGUAAUACGGAGGAUGCGAGCGUUAUCCGGAUUUAUUGGGUUUAAAGGGUGCGCAGGCGGGAGAUCAAGUCAGCGGUAAAAUGGCGGGGCUCAACCCCGGCCCGCCGUUGAAACUGGGUUUCUUGAGUUGGAGAAAGGUAUGCGGAAUGCGUGGUGUAGCGGUGAAAUGCAUAGAUAUCACGAAGAACUCCGAUCGCGAAGGCAGCAUACCGGCUCCCGACUGACGCUCAGGCACGAAAUCGUGGGGAUCGAACAGGAUUAGAUACCCCGGUAGUC